This 1479-nucleotide ribosomal RNA is filed under the name uncultured Bordetella sp. RNAcentral describes it as "partial 16S-23S ribosomal RNA intergenic spacer". It matches the Rfam family "Bacterial small subunit ribosomal RNA". The record is from RNAcentral. Lineage: Bacteria; Pseudomonadati; Pseudomonadota; Betaproteobacteria; Burkholderiales; Alcaligenaceae.
AGUUUGAUUAUGGCUCAGAUUGAACGCUGGCGGGAUGCUUUACACAUGCAAGUCGAACGGCAGCACGGACUUCGGUCUGGUGGCGAGUGGCGAACGGGUGAGUAAUGUAUCGGAACGUGCCUAGUAGCGGGGGAUAACUACGCGAAAGGUAGCUAAUACCGCAUACGCCCUUCGGGGGAAGCGGGGGACCUCUGGCCUCUGCACUAUUAGAGCGGCUGAUAUCGGAUUAGCUAGUUGGUGGGGUAACGGCUCACCAAGGCGACGAUCCGUAGCUGGUUUGAGAGGACGACCAGCCACACUGGGACUGAGACACGGCCCAGACUCUCUACGGGAGGCAGCAGUGGGGAAUUUUGGACAAUGGGGGAAACCCUGAUCCAGCCAUCCCCGCGUGUGCGAUGAAGGCCUUCGGGUUGUAAAGCACUUUGGCAGUGAGGCGAAACGGCACGGGAUAAUACCCCGUGCAACUGACGGUACCUGCAGAAUAAGCACCGGCUAACUACGUGCCAGCAGCCGCGGUAAUACGUAGGGUGCAAGCGUUAAUCGGAAUUACUGGGCGUAAAAGCGUGGCAGGCGGUUCGGAAAGAAAGAUGUGAAAUCCCAGAGCUUAACUUUGGAACUGCAUUUUUAACUACCGAGCUAGAGUGUGUCAGAGGGAGGUGGAAUUCGCGUGUAGCAGUGAAAUGCGUAGAUAUGCGGAGGAACACCGAUGGCGAAGGCAGCCUCGAUAACACUGACGCUCAUGCACGAAAGCGUGGGGAGCAAACAGGAUUAGAUACCCUGGUAGUCCACGCCCUAAACGAUGUCAACUAGCUGUUGGGGCCUUCGCCUUGGUAGCGCAGCUAACGCGUGAAGUUGACCGCCUGGGGAGUACGGUCGCAAGAUUAAAACUCAAAGGAAUUGACGGGGACCCGCACAAGCGGUGGAUGAUGUGGAUUAAUUCGAUGCAACGCGAAAACCUUACCAAUUCUUGACAUGUCUGGAAUCCUGAAGAGAUUUGGGAGUGCUCGCAAGAGAACCGGAACACAGGUGCUGCAUGGCUGUCGUCAGCUCGUGUCGUGAGAUGUUGGGUUAAGUCCUGCAACGAGCGCAACCCUUGUCAUUAGCGAUACGAAAGGGCACUCUAUCGAGACUGCCGGUGACAAACUGGAGGAAGGUGGGGAUGACGUCAAGUCCUCAUGGCCCUUAUGGGUAGGGCUUCACACGUCAUACAAUGGUCGGGACAGAGGGUCGCCAACCCGCGAGGGGGAGCCAAUCCCAGAAACCCGAUCGUAGUCCGGAUCGCAGUCCGCAACUCGACUGCGUGAAGUCGGAAUCGCUAGUAAUCGCGGAUCAGCAUGUCGCGGUGAAUACGUUCCCGGGUCUUGCACACACCGCCCGUCACACCAUGGGAGUGGGUUUUACCAGAAGUAGUUAGCCUAACCGUAAGGAGGGCGAUCCCACGGUAGGAUUCAUGACUGGGGUGAAGUCGUAACAAGGUAA